UCCGUAGGUGAACCUGCGGAGGGAUCAUUACCGAGUGGAGGGCCCUCGCGGGCCCGACCUCCCACCCCGUGUCGUAUCGACUCAGUUGCCUCGGGGGCGACCCGGCCUUUGGGCGGCGGGGCCCCCGGCGGACACCUAUCAAACUCGUGCAUCCUUUGCGUCGGAGUGAAUGAUAUAAAUCAAUCAAAACUUUCAACAACGGAUCUCUUGGUUCUGGCAUCGAUGAAGAACGCAGCGAAAUGCGAUAAGUAAUGUGAAUUGCAGAAUUCAGUGAAUCAUCGAAUCUUUGAACGCACAUUGCGCCCCCUGGCAUUCCGGGGGGCAUGCCUGUUCGAGCGUCAUUACACCACUCAAGCCUCGCUUGGUAUUGGGCGCCGCGGUCUCCCCGCGCGCCCUAAUGUCUGCCGGCUGAGCCGUCCGUCUCUAAGCGUUGUGGUACACAGUCCGCUUGCGAGGCCCGGGCGGUUCGACGCCGUCAAACCCCUUCUUCUAAAGGUUGACCUCGGAUCAGGUAGGGAUACCCGCUGAACUUAAGCAUAUCAAUAAGCGGAGGA
This 554-nucleotide ribosomal RNA is filed under the name uncultured fungus. RNAcentral describes it as "partial 18S ribosomal RNA". The stretch from base 188 to 341 matches the Rfam family "5.8S ribosomal RNA". The record is from RNAcentral. Lineage: Eukaryota; Fungi.